RNAcentral lists this ribosomal RNA (467 nucleotides) under uncultured bacterium. Its description in RNAcentral is "partial 16S ribosomal RNA". It matches the Rfam family "Bacterial small subunit ribosomal RNA", at positions 28 to 506 of the family's 1533-position model. The record is from RNAcentral.
GACGAACGCUGGCGGCGUGCUUAACACAUGCAAGUCGAACGGAAACGCCCUGCUUUUGUGGGGUGCUCGAGUGGCGAACGGGUGAGUAACACGUGAGUAACCUGCCCUUGACUUUGGGAUAACUUCAGGAAACUGGGGCUAAUACCGGAUAGGAGCUCCUGCUGCAUGGUGGGGGUUGGAAAGUUUCGGCGGUUGGGGAUGGACUCGCGGCUUAUCAGCUUGUUGGUGGGGUAGUGGCUUACCAAGGCUUUGACGGGUAGCCGGCCUGAGAGGGUGACCGGCCACAUUGGGACUGAGAUACGGCCCAGACUCCUACGGGAGGCAGCAGUGGGGAAUAUUGCACAAUGGGCGGAAGCCUGAUGCAGCAACGCCGCGUGCGGGAUGACGGCCUUCGGGUUGUAAACCGCUUUCGCCUGUGACGAAGCGUGAGUGACGGUAAUGGGUAAAGAAGCACCGGCUAACUACGU